CCAAAGCAGAAGUCAGCAGGAAUGGGAGCUGCAACAAAGCACGAAGAAGAGAAAACAGAAAACAUCCAUUGAAUCCUCUGCCUCUGGUAAUGUAUGGCUCCCAGUAUGCCUCCUUCAAGAGCAUGACUGACCCAAUUACUAGUAUGAGCAAAAGGUAUCUAAAGUAAAUGGCCUUAUGUAUAAUCCUGAAUUAUAAAUGGCUGAAGAGGAACAGCCCCAGUCUGCAGCGCCCAGGGAGACCAACGCAGAAGGCAGAAAGUUUCAGAAAGGUGAUGAAAUUUAAGCUGGGCUUUAAAGGCUACAUCAAAUUUGACAAAUGGAAUUGUGAGGAAAGCACAUUAGAAGUAAAGAGUGAACCCACAAAAACAAGAGAACAUCAUGUUUCUAGAGGCUGCCUGCAUUCCUUGGCUAAUGACUUUGCAUCACUCUGACGUCUUGCUCCCAUGGUCGUAUCACCUACUACUGGCCCUGAUCUCACUACUUGUUAUAUGGAACAAAGGGAUAAGGAAGUGACUUGCCUAAGUCACUGAGGAACCUAAUAUUGAGAUUAGCACUCAAUGAUUCCUGGCUCUCAGAAUGUGUGCUGCUACCACCAGGCCACACUCUUCCCUCCAGAGAGAAGAUGUGUCAGCACGGAAUUGUGCUGAAGCAAAGAUGUGAAAUAGAAUGAUUACAUAUCUACCUAGUGGGAAGAUCUGGGGAAGAAUCUAUCAGUGCUGGCAGAGAAGCAAACCAUACGACAUCACUCAUCCCCAGAAAGUGAAGUUAAGGGAAAUAAAAAACAAUCUACACCAUUUAGAAAACACAGCCACCCCAUACCCUUGGAAAAAAUACACUAAAAUAUCUUCAUCUGAUUUGACCUCUAAUAACAUGAAUAAUUGUCUUAUAACUCACUUUCUUACCUCUUGAUUAUUCUACAGAUCCGGCACAUAUGAGCAAAAUCUGAUGAAAUUCACUCAUUUAAUUUGAAGAUUUUAAUUAUGUAGAAAA
RNAcentral lists this long non-coding RNA (990 nucleotides) under Homo sapiens (human). Its description in RNAcentral is "HSALNT0376133". The record is from RNAcentral. Lineage: Eukaryota; Metazoa; Chordata; Mammalia; Primates; Hominidae.